UCCCUGGUGGCUCAGAGGGUAAAGCAUCUGCCUGCAAUGCAGGAGACUCGGGUUCAAUCCUUGGGUUGGGAA
Molecule: transfer RNA, 72 nt
Filed under: Bos taurus (domestic cattle)
Lineage: Eukaryota; Metazoa; Chordata; Mammalia; Artiodactyla; Bovidae
Also listed under: 4 other names
Rfam family: tRNA
About the family: Transfer RNA (tRNA) molecules are approximately 80 nucleotides in length. Their secondary structure includes four short double-helical elements and three loops (D, anti-codon, and T loops). Further hydrogen bonds mediate the characteristic L-shaped molecular structure. tRNAs have two regions of fundamental functional importance: the anti-codon, which is responsible for specific mRNA codon recognition, and the 3' end, to which the tRNAs corresponding amino acid is attached (by aminoacyl-tRNA synthetases). tRNAs cope with the degeneracy of the genetic code in two manners: having more than one tRNA (with a specific anti-codon) for a particular amino acid; and 'wobble' base-pairing, i.e. permitting non-standard base-pairing at the 3rd anti-codon position.
Source: Rfam by way of RNAcentral